CACCUGGUGAGGACACGGGGCAGGAGUGGCACCUGGUGAGGACACGGGGCAGGAUGGCACCCAGUGAGGACACAGACAGGAGUGGCCCUUGGCAAGGACACUGGGCAGGAUGGCACCUGGGUCCCUGCUGGAGGCUCGGGGUGAGUGAGGGACAGAAGGACAGCCAGGACAGCCAGGACCAUCUCCCGAGGACAGGAUGGACACUGCAGCUGGACAGAGGGACAGAAGGACAGCCAGGACCAUCUCCCAAGGACAGGACAGACAGUGCUGGGCUGCACAUCCCUGCAGGAGCUGAGCUCCUCCCCGCGGCACUGACAGCACUCAGGAGCAAUUUCUGCUGGACUUUGGGAAUUUGGGAAUUUUCCUUGUGGAUCCUGGCCAUGGAUGGACGCUGAAGAGCUCCUGGCUCAAGCAGGAGCUCAGUGCUUUUCUCUGGCAAGGACCAAGCCCUUCCCUGCUUUCCAAUGGAUAUUUUUGGUUUUUAUUUUUGCUGGUUUUGGGGGUUUGGGUGUUUCCUGAGGCUGCUGGAGCUGCAGUGGAUCCAUGGUGGGACUGGAGCCUUUGAGAAGCAGGAGCUGAGCUGGGCCUGGGGCUCCAGACUGGCUCACCCUGGGCUGGGGGGCUCAGGAGGGUCCUGGUGCCACAGCUGGAGCAUCCCAGAGGAUCCCAGGGUGGGAAUGGGGGGAAGCCAAACCCAGCAUGGGGAGUGUCACCCUCAGAGACAAUUAAACUGCAUUUAAUUAAUUUAAUAAACCCCAUUGGCUCUGUGAGUGCUGGAUGUUG
RNAcentral lists this long non-coding RNA (783 nucleotides) under Zonotrichia albicollis (white-throated sparrow). RNAcentral describes it as "lncRNA (ENSZALG00000001302.1)". The record is from RNAcentral. Lineage: Eukaryota; Metazoa; Chordata; Aves; Passeriformes; Passerellidae.